RNAcentral lists this long non-coding RNA (570 nucleotides) under Mytilus galloprovincialis (Mediterranean mussel). The record is from RNAcentral. Lineage: Eukaryota; Metazoa; Mollusca; Bivalvia; Mytilida; Mytilidae.
AAACAAUUAUAUGUCAAACAUCAAAACUAAAUUAAACACUGCUGAAAACAGAUAAUGGUCAACACAAAAAACAGAGGGUAAAAACAUGCAAAAAUCAAUUCAUUAAAAACAAGUGAAACUGCGAGCUACUGCUCACUGAUGAUACCCCCGCCGCAAGUGGAUAAUAUUAAUAGUGUAAAAAUAUGCAAGUGUUCGGUAAACAGGAAGUUGUCGAGUGAUGAAUCUGAAAACGCAUCACACGGUAUAGCUGACUUAUAAAAAUCCUGAAACCAAAUUUCAAAAAUCCUUGUAUUGUAGUUCCUGAGAAAAAUGUGACGAAAAUUUUCAACUUGGCUAUCAUGUGUAAAAUCAUACAAGUGUUCGGUAAACAGGAAGUUGUCGAGUGAUGAAUCUGAAAACGCAUCACACGGUAUAGCUGACUUAUAAAAAUCCUGAAACCAAAAUUCAGAAAUCCUUGUAUUGUAGUUCCUGAGAAAAAUGUGACGAAAAUUUUCAACUUGGCUAUCAUGUGUAAAAUCAUACAAGUGUUCGGUAAACAGGAAGUUGUCGAGUGAUGAAUCUGAAAACGCA